GGACAUUAAAGUGUAAUAUGCUGCACGACAGACAAUAGAAUUGUAUAGUGUCAAGGUUUAAUUAUUACAUGCAUACCACACGAGUUUAUAUACAUUAAUCAUUCACAAAUAUGAGGGAAGUCACAAACCGGCGACUGCCGACUGGAUUAAGGAAGUAGCAACACCUGCCUCCGUUAAAUUGACUGCUGAAAAUACAAGCAAACUGUGAUAUCUGUCUGAAAUCUGAACAAUGGCUUUUACCAACAACAAAAAAAAGCUGAACAAUGGCAUAUCAAUACAUGUUUUUCACAUGUAUGCUACAUGUCAUGUUUUUCAUUAGUCUUUAAUCGCGCAUCCGUUUUCUUGCUCGUAUUCCUUGAUCUUUGAAUAUGGAAGGAAGUUAUAGAUUGCUCUCUUAUAUACAAAUCUACUAACUUAAUCAUAACUUCUAUCCAACUAACUUAUAGAGAGCAGUAAAAGAAAAGGAUGAGUAAUUUGGCCUUAUCCAAUGAAAACAAUACUAGGCAAUUUGUGAUCAUGAAGCGAAAGCUUCUAGAAUUUAAUCAUACUUUCCCCAGUGUUUUACUAAAUCUCUUUGGAAUUCAUUUUCUUAGUGGAUAGUGCCGUGCGAAGAGUUUAAGGGGCCUAAGGCAAGUUCUAAAAAUAAAUUUAUUUACAACUGUAAUGAAAAUAAUUUUCUAAUGUGAUAUAUUAUUUUCACCAAAUACACAAGUCUAAUACUGUAAAGAAAUAAGUUUAUAACGUAAAUAUGUUAUAUUAUGUUAUAUAGAAAAAAAUACAUGAAUUCAGAAAAUGAGUUGAUUAAUUUUCGUAGAAAUGUUUUUUUUUAAAUAAGUCUAAACCACUAGACUAGAAAUUAUUUUAAAUCUUGGGGCCCUAAAAAUAGUCAUAUUAAUCGGGGGCCUGAGGCGAAUGCCUUUUUCAAUACACUGUAGGCACACCUCUGUUAGUGGAUCAUCAGAAAUUGAUAUAUUCAUUCUCACCAUCCACAUAAACGUUCUCACGUCAUCAUCCUAUCGAGUUCAUAUGUCCAGAGUCAGAAUCUUUCUAGCUAUAUCGUAUUGUUAUUUGAUAUGUAGCCACAUUAAAAAUUUUAACUAAAACAUAAGAGUAAACUUAUCAGUGGUUCAUGGUCAUAGUUACAUCAAUAUCUAAACAAGAAACCUUUACGAACAACGAGAAGAAGAGAAAAAAUACCUCCGAGAAUCACCAAAAUCUAGAUUAGUUCGACAAUGGAGAACAGACGCCGAGAAAAAAGAGGGGAUGGGAGAGCGACCUACUGUCCGACGAGGUCACAGGGAUCCGAGGAGCAUCCAUCCAAAUCGCAGAUCUGGUUUUUAGUUGAUAGGAAAAAGAGACGUGGGUGUGUAUCGACGUUCUAAUUUCUUGAAAGAGAAGUAAAUCAAGAUUUUUUUUGGUUAACAAUAGAAGUUCCGGACCGUACCAAUGGUAAUUUGAACCCGGC
This 1465-nucleotide long non-coding RNA is filed under the name Brassica napus (rape). RNAcentral describes it as "long non-coding RNA (BNAP_LNC007913)". The record is from RNAcentral. Lineage: Eukaryota; Viridiplantae; Streptophyta; Magnoliopsida; Brassicales; Brassicaceae.